CAUAGGUUAAUGAGGCGAACCGGGGGAACUGAAACAUCUAAGUACCCCGAGGAAAAGAAAUCAACCGAGAUUCCCCCAGUAGCGGCGAGCGAACGGGGAGCAGCCCAGAGCCUGAAUCAGUGUGUGUGUUAGUGGAAGCGUCUGGAAAGGCGCGCGAUACAGGGUGACAGCCCCGUACACAAAAAUGCACAUACUGUGAGCUCGAUGAGUAGGGCGGGACACGUGGUAUCCUGUCUGAAUAUGGGGGGACCAUCCUCCAAGGCUAAAUACUCCUGACUGACCGAUAGUGAACCAGUACCGUGAGGGAAAGGCGAAAAGAACCCCGGCGAGGGGAGUGAAAAAGAACCUGAAACCGUGUACGUACAAGCAGUGGGAGCACAGAGCAAUCUGUGUGACUGCGUACCUUUUGUAUAAUGGGUCAGCGACUUAUAUUCUGUAGCAAGGUUAACCGAAUAGGGGAGCCGAAGGGAAACCGAGUCUUAACUGGGCGUUAAGUUGCAGGGUAUAGACCCGAAACCCGGUGAUCUAGCCAUGGGCAGGUUGAAGGUUGGGUAACACUAACUGGAGGACCGAACCGACUAAUGUUGAAAAAUUAGCGGAUGACUUGUGGCUGGGGGUGAAAGGCCAAUCAAACCGGGAGAUAGCUGGUUCUCCCCGAAAGCUAUUUAGGUAGCGCCUCGUGAAUUCAUCUCCGGGGGUAGAGCACUGUUUCGGCAAGGGGGUCAUCCCGACUUACCAACCCGAUGCAAACUGCGAAUACCGGAGAAUGUUAUCACGGGAGACACACGGCGGGUGCUAACGUCCGUCGUGAAGAGGGAAACAACCCAGACCGCCAGCUAAGGUCCCAAAGUCAUGGUUAAGUGGGAAACGAUGUGGGAAGGCCCAGACAGCCAGGAUGUUGGCUUAGAAGCAGCCAUCAUUUAAAGAAAGCGUAAUAGCUCACUGGUCGAGUCGGCCUGCGCGGAAGAUGUAACGGGGCUAAACCAUGCACCGAAGCUGCGGCAGCGACGCUUAUGCGUUGUUGGGUAGGGGAGCGUUCUGUAAGCCUGCGAAGGUGUGCUGUGAGGCAUGCUGGAGGUAUCAGAAGUGCGAAUGCUGACAUAAGUAACGAUAAAGCGGGUGAAAAGCCCGCUCGCCGGAAGACCAAGGGUUCCUGUCCAACGUUAAUCGGGGCAGGGUGAGUCGACCCCUAAGGCGAGGCCGAAAGGCGUAGUCGAUGGGAAACAGGUUAAUAUUCCUGUACUUGGUGUUACUGCGAAGGGGGGACGGAGAAGGCUAUGUUGGCCGGGCGACGGUUGUCCCGGUUUAAGCGUGUAGGCUGGUUUUCCAGGCAAAUCCGGAAAAUCAAGGCUGAGGCGUGAUGACGAGGCACUACAGUGCUGAAGCAACAAAUGCCCUGCUUCCAGGAAAAGCCUCUAAGCAUCAGGUAACAUCAAAUCGUACCCCAAACCGACACAGGUGGUCAGGUAGAGAAUACCAAGGCGCUUGAGAGAACUCGGGUGAAGGAACUAGGCAAAAUGGUGCCGUAACUUCGGGAGAAGGCA
RNAcentral lists this ribosomal RNA (1544 nucleotides) under Escherichia coli. RNAcentral's name for it is "partial 23S ribosomal RNA". It matches the Rfam family "Bacterial large subunit ribosomal RNA", at positions 165 to 1748 of the family's 2925-position model. Lineage: Bacteria; Pseudomonadati; Pseudomonadota; Gammaproteobacteria; Enterobacterales; Enterobacteriaceae. The record is from RNAcentral.